UACGAGGGAUGCAAGCGUUAUCCGGAAUUAUUGGGCGUAAAGCGUUUGUAGGCGGGCGAGUGUGUUUAAUGUUAAAUCUUAAAGCUCAACUUUGAAAUUGCGUUAAAAACUGCUUGUCUUGAGUAUGGUAGGGGUAAAGGGAAUUCCCAGUGUAGCGGUGAAAUGCGUAGAUAUUGGGAAGAACACUAAACAGCGAAGGCACUUUACUAGGCUAAUACUGACGCUGAGAAACGAAAGGUAAGGUAGCGAAACGGACUAGAUACCCGUGUAGUCUUACCCGUAAACUAUGGACACUAAACGGUAAAUUUUUAAUUUACUGUUAAAGCUAACGCGUUAAGUGUCCCGCCUGGGGAGUAUGCUUGCAAAAGUGAAACUCAAAGGAAUUGACGGGGGCCCGCACAAGCGGUGGAGCAUGUGGUUUAAUUCGACGGUACACGAAGAACCUUACCAGGAUUUGACAUGCUAGAUAGUUGCUUGAAAGAGUAACGUGCCGUAAGGAAUCUAGACACAGGUGGUGCAUGGCUGUCGUCAGUUCGUGUUGUGAAAUGUUGGGUUAAGUCCCGCAACGAACGCAACCCUUGUCUUUAGUUAUUUUCUAAAGAGACUGCCUGUAAUAAACAGGAGGAAGGUAAGGAUGAGGUCAAGUCAUCAUGCCCCUUAUGUCCUGGGCUACACACGUGCUACAAUGGGAAAGACAAUGAGCUGCAAAUCUGUAAAUUUAAGCAAAUCUCUUAAACUUUCUCGUAGUUCGGAUUGUGGGCUGCAACUCGCCCACAUGAAGUUGGAAUCGCUAGUAAUCGCCAGUCAGCUAUAUGGCGGUGAAUCCGUUCCCGGGCCU
This 838-nucleotide ribosomal RNA is filed under the name uncultured bacterium. RNAcentral describes it as "bacterial SSU rRNA". It matches the Rfam family "Bacterial small subunit ribosomal RNA", at positions 524 to 1381 of the family's 1533-position model. The record is from RNAcentral.